GAGGAACCUAGAGAAACAAUUUUGUUUGGAUCUUGGUGCUGUCCCAGAUCAUCUGAUCUUGUUCUGUCUUACCCUUGCUGGAAUAAGCAAGCCUCCACAGUACAGUCCUGAACAUCAUGCCCAGUGGCAGGCUGGCCUUCCAGAGUUGGACCUGGUACCCAGGCUAAGUUAGUUUUGGCAGAAGACUUUUAACACUUCAGUGAAAGAGAGGAAAAAAGAGAAGGUGCAGAUCAGUGACUUGUUGCAAUUUGCUGUUUGUGGAUCUGUUACCUCUAGCAUUACAGAUGAACAGGAGCAGUAGAAAUUGCCUGUCCUGAGAUAAGAUAAAAACGCUUACCGUUUGGUAAUUUAGAGUUAUAUAAUAUAAUGCAUACAAAAGCAGGCUUAAUUAGGUUUCCUAUUAACAAAACUACUUUUUACUAAUACUAAGUUUAAGUUGUGUUUGGAUUUAAAAAUCCUAGUAAAUGGGAAAAUAUUUUCUUGGACUCAGUUAUGUCUCUUCUCAAUAGUACUGUCCUCAUUACCCUUUUUCUUUUAUCAGAAAGGCUUAAAUGUAUCAGAACAGUUCAAAUGUCUAUUUUGUUUUCAACUUCUUACCUUUUUCUACCUCCUGCUUAAUGGGAUGUGGGUUGCUUAGUAAUGUUAAAGCAUUUUCCAGAGCAGGUUUCCAUACCUGGAUGCAUUUCAUGAGACUUCAGUAGCCCAAGGCUGUCAUAACCUACCACAGGAGUACACAAGGUAGUAGAACUUACAUUAACCCUUCUAUUCAGACUUCUGAAAAUGCAUUUAGCAGCAUACCAGAUAUAGCUGACUAUUCUCUUCACUGGGCAGCUUUUCUGAAUGUGAGAUGAAAUAGAAGAGUUUAAGUUAACACCUACCAAUUAUCAAGUCCGUUGUUCGUCUCGAGAGCUGAGUAUCCAUAUUUCAUGCAGGUUAUAGCAUCCCUUUUCUGUAGAGGCAUCUAAAUCAGAAUAGGUUUUAUAAUGUGCUUAAGUCAGUAAAUUAUAACAUCUGAACCUGGCUAUCUAUAAAUGUUUUUCAGUGAAACUACUGUUUAAAAAAAAAAAAA
This 1069-nucleotide long non-coding RNA is filed under the name Strigops habroptila (Kakapo). RNAcentral describes it as "lncRNA (ENSSHBG00005008978.1)". Lineage: Eukaryota; Metazoa; Chordata; Aves; Psittaciformes; Psittacidae. The record is from RNAcentral.